Molecule: ribosomal RNA, 2864 nt
Filed under: Salmonella enterica subsp. enterica serovar Typhimurium
Lineage: Bacteria; Pseudomonadati; Pseudomonadota; Gammaproteobacteria; Enterobacterales; Enterobacteriaceae
Description: partial 23S ribosomal RNA
Rfam family: Bacterial large subunit ribosomal RNA
Source: RNAcentral
UCGUCACACUAUCAUUAACUGAAUCCAUAGGUUAAUGAGGCGAACCGGGGGAACUGAAACAUCUAAGUACCCCGAGGAAAAGAAAUCAACCGAGAUUCCCCCAGUAGCGGCGAGCGAACGGGGAGGAGCCCAGAGCCUGAAUCAGCAUGUGUGUUAGUGGAAGCGUCUGGAAAGGCGCGCGAUACAGGGUGACAGCCCCGUACACAAAAGCGCAUGUGCUGUGAGCUCGAUGAGUAGGGCGGGACACGUGGUAUCCUGUCUGAAUAUGGGGGGACCAUCCUCCAAGGCUAAAUACUCCUGACUGACCGAUAGUGAACCAGUACCGUGAGGGAAAGGCGAAAAGAACCCCGGCGAGGGGAGUGAAAAAGAACCUGAAACCGUGUACGUACAAGCAGUGGGAGCACCCUUCGGGGUGUGACUGCGUACCUUUUGUAUAAUGGGUCAGCGACUUAUAUUCUGUAGCAAGGUUAACCGUAUAGGGGAGCCGGAGGGAAACCGAGUCUUAAUUGGGCGUUAAGUUGCAGGGUAUAGACCCGAAACCCGGUGAUCUAGCCAUGGGCAGGUUGAAGGUUGGGUAACACUAACUGGAGGACCGAACCGACUAAUGUUGAAAAAUUAGCGGAUGACCUGUGGCUGGGGGUGAAAGGCCAAUCAAACCGGGAGAUAGCUGGUUCUCCCCGAAAGCUAUUUAGGUAGCGCCUCGUGAAUUCAUCUCCGGGGGUAGAGCACUGUUUCGGCUAGGGGGCCAUCCCGGCUUACCAACCCGAUGCAAACUGCGAAUACCGGAGAAUGUUAUCACGGGAGACACACGGCGGGUGCUAACGUCCGUCGUGAAGAGGGAAACAACCCAGACCGCCAGCUAAGGUCCCAAAGUCAUGGUUAAGUGGGAAACGAUGUGGGAAGGCCCAGACAGCCAGGAUGUUGGCUUAGAAGCAGCCAUCAUUUAAAGAAAGCGUAAUAGCUCACUGGUCGAGUCGGCCUGCGCGGAAGAUGUAACGGGGCUAAACCAUGCACCGAAGCUGCGGCAGCGAACGUAUCACCCAAGACAACUUUACGGAGUUGACGAUUGACGGAGCGAAGCGACGUCAAAGCGUUCAUUAAAGUCGAGUUGGCUUAGGGAUACGUUCGUUGGGUAGGGGAGCGUUCUGUAAGCCUGUGAAGGUGUGUCGUGAGGCAUGCUGGAGGUAUCAGAAGUGCGAAUGCUGACAUAAGUAACGAUAAAGCGGGUGAAAAGCCCGCUCGCCGGAAGACCAAGGGUUCCUGUCCAACGUUAAUCGGGGCAGGGUGAGUCGACCCCUAAGGCGAGGCCGAAAGGCGUAGUCGAUGGGAAACGGGUUAAUAUUCCCGUACUUGGUGUUACUGCGAAGGGGGGACGGAGAAGGCUAUGUUGGCCGGGCGACGGUUGUCCCGGUUUAAGCGUGUAGGUGUGUGUUCCAGGUAAAUCCGGUUCACUUUAACACUGAGGCGUGACGACGAGGCACUACGGUGCUGAAGCAACAAAUGCCCUGCUUCCAGGAAAAGCCUCUAAGCAUCAGGUAACAUCAAAUCGUACCCCAAACCGACACAGGUGGUCAGGUAGAGAAUACCAAGGCGCUUGAGAGAACUCGGGUGAAGGAACUAGGCAAAAUGGUGCCGUAACUUCGGGAGAAGGCACGCUGACACGUAGGUGAAGUGAUUUACUCAUGGAGCUGAAGUCAGUCGAAGAUACCAGCUGGCUGCAACUGUUUAUUAAAAACACAGCACUGUGCAAACACGAAAGUGGACGUAUACGGUGUGACGCCUGCCCGGUGCCGGAAGGUUAAUUGAUGGGGUCAGCGUAAGCGAAGCUCCUGAUCGAAGCCCCGGUAAACGGCGGCCGUAACUAUAACGGUCCUAAGGUAGCGAAAUUCCUUGUCGGGUAAGUUCCGACCUGCACGAAUGGCGUAAUGAUGGCCAGGCUGUCUCCACCCGAGACUCAGUGAAAUUGAACUCGCUGUGAAGAUGCAGUGUACCCGCGGCAAGACGGAAAGACCCCGUGAACCUUUACUAUAGCUUGACACUGAACAUUGAGCCUUGAUGUGUAGGAUAGGUGGGAGGCUUUGAAGUGUGGACGCCAGUCUGCAUGGAGCCGACCUUGAAAUACCACCCUUUAAUGUUUGAUGUUCUAACGUGGACCCGUAAUCCGGGUUGCGGACAGUGUCUGGUGGGUAGUUUGACUGGGGCGGUCUCCUCCUAAAGAGUAACGGAGGAGCACGAAGGUUGGCUAAUCCUGGUCGGACAUCAGGAGGUUAGUGCAAUGGCAUAAGCCAGCUUGACUGCGAGCGUGACGGCGCGAGCAGGUGCGAAAGCAGGUCAUAGUGAUCCGGUGGUUCUGAAUGGAAGGGCCAUCGCUCAACGGAUAAAAGGUACUCCGGGGAUAACAGGCUGAUACCGCCCAAGAGUUCAUAUCGACGGCGGUGUUUGGCACCUCGAUGUCGGCUCAUCACAUCCUGGGGCUGAAGUAGGUCCCAAGGGUAUGGCUGUUCGCCAUUUAAAGUGGUACGCGAGCUGGGUUUAGAACGUCGUGAGACAGUUCGGUCCCUAUCUGCCGUGGGCGCUGGAGAACUGAGGGGGGCUGCUCCUAGUACGAGAGGACCGGAGUGGACGCAUCACUGGUGUUCGGGUUGUCAUGCCAAUGGCACUGCCCGGUAGCUAAAUGCGGAAGAGAUAAGUGCUGAAAGCAUCUAAGCACGAAACUUGCCCCGAGAUGAGUUCUCCCUGAGACUUAGAGUCUCCUGAAGGAACGUUGAAGACGACGACGUUGAUAGGCCGGGUGUGUAAGCGCAGCGAUGCGUUGAGCUAACCGGUACUAAUGAACCGUGAGGCUUAACCUUACAACGCCGAAG